GUUCUUGAAAGAUCCUUCGGGUGAAUGAUGGAAUGGAAAGCGGCGGACGGGUGAGUAACGCGUGGGCAACCUGCCCCAUACAGAGGGAUAGCCACUGGAAACGGUGAUUAAUACCUCAUAAGACCACAGUAACACAUGUUACAGAGGUAAAAACUCCGGUGGUAUGGGAUGGGCCCGCGUCUGAUUAGCUAGUUGGUGAGGUAAUGGCUCACCAAGGCGACGAUCAGUAGCCGACCUGAGAGGGUGAUCGGCCACACUGGAACUGAGACACGGUCCAGACUCCUACGGGAGGCAGCAGUGGGGAAUAUUGCACAAUGGGCGAAAGCCUGAUGCAGCAACGCCGCGUGAACGAAGAAGGCCUUCGGGUUGUAAAGUUCUUUUCUUGGAGAAGAAUAAAUGACGGUAUCCAAGGAAUAAGCCCCGGCUAACUACGUGCCAGCAGCCGCGGUAAUACGUAGGGGGCAAGCGUUAUCCGGAAUCACUGGGCGUAAAGGGAGCGUAGGCGGUCAAGCAAGUCAGGGGUGAAAGGCAUCGGCUCAACCGAUGUAAGCCUUUGAAACUGUUUGACUUGAGUGCAGGAGAGGUAAGUGGAAUUCCUAGUGUAGCGGUGAAAUGCGUAGAUAUUAGGAGGAACACCAGUGGCGAAGGCGACUUACUGGACUGUAACUGACGCUGAGGCUCGAAAGCGUGGGGAG
Molecule: ribosomal RNA, 695 nt
Filed under: uncultured bacterium
Lineage: Bacteria
Description: bacterial SSU rRNA
Rfam family: Bacterial small subunit ribosomal RNA
Source: RNAcentral